Loxodonta africana (African savanna elephant) is the source of this 2009-nucleotide long non-coding RNA. RefSeq lists it as uncharacterized. The record is from RefSeq and is a predicted model, not a curated record. The transcript has 3 exons. Lineage: Eukaryota; Metazoa; Chordata; Mammalia; Proboscidea; Elephantidae.
GUCUUCCGGGGGAAGGUCCUUUGAGGACAAAUCCUUGGGGGUAGCUUUGAGGCAAGGGUGGGGAGAGGGAAAGGCCUGGGCUGGGAGGCACGCCCCCAUGAGCCAAGGGUAGGGAAGGAGCCUGUCACCAGGAAUGAUGGUAGGGUUGGGGCCAGGGAGCUGAAGCUGACUUGGGAACGGGCUCACAGGCAGGCUUGGCUUCCCUGAAAGAGCUGGGGUCAUCAGCCCAGGGGGUAAAAGCAGAGGGUGUCCAGGCUGGGCCUGGCUGAGCAAGGCUGGCUCCUUCCUGUUACCAUCUUCGGGGCUGAGAGCCUGGGAUCAGCCUUUGAGGGUGAGUGGAGGGCAGGACUUGGCCGUGAAGGGAUGACCAGGGCUACCGUUUACACACACAAAGCAGGGACAGUCCCUUGACCCUGGGUCAGAGCCUGGAAGGGAGUGGAACUGGUCUGUCCUGGCCUUGACCCUGCCCCACCCGGUCCCUUGGGCCAGGCUCUGAGCAAGGAGAAUGGACUUCUGCCUUCCCCACUCUGGCCCUGGCCUCCCUCCAGCAGUGUUUGGAAGCCUCCUUUUUGUCCCCUCUGGCUUCCCCACUCAAUAUCCUUCCUCCUUCUGACCUCCAGUCUUCUGUUCAUGCCUUCCAUCCCCCUAGAGGGUCCCACUCCCAUUCCAUCCCAUUGUCUGAACCAUUUAACCCUAACUUCUCUUUCCAACUUCUAUGUAUCCAUCAAAGCCCUGGCUCCAAGGCUCCCACCUCUGUAAGGCCUUCCCUGAUCUCUCCCCCCAGUUCCUCUUCAAGUGUGUAACUCUGUGCCAAGCCCAUGUGGUGGGACCAUUCUGAGCCCCAGAUAAGACUUGGAACCAAGCCUGCCCUCAAGGAUGUCCAAAGCUGGAGAAAGAGCUGGACACAGACAAUUCCAGCCCCCUGAGGUCAGGGCUGGGCCAGAGAGAGCAACAACAGGACUUAAGGGAGCCCAGAAGGGACUGGUCCCUCCUGAUACCAUGUCCAAACGACGUGAGAGGAAGUCUCGCCAUCCUUGCUUCUAAGGAGCGUUCUGGUUGUACUUCUUCCAAGACAGGUUUGUUGGUUCUCUUGGCAGUCCAUGGUAUAUUCAAUAUUCCUUGCCAGCAACAUAAUUCAAAGACAUCAAUUCUUCAGUCUUCCUUAUUCAUCGUCCAGUUUUCACAUGCAUAUGAGACAAUUGAAAAUACCAUGGCUUGGGUCAGGUGCACAUUAGACCUCAAGGUGACAUCUUUGCUUUUUAACACUUUAAAGAGGCUUUUUGCAAGCAGAUUUGCCCAAUGCAGUGCAUCUUUUGAUUUCUUGACUGCUGCUUCCAUGGCUGUUGAUGGUGGAUCCAAGUAAAAUGAAAUCCUUGACAACUUCCAUCUUUUCUCCCUUGAUCAUGAUGUUGCUCAUUGGUCCAGUUGUGAGGAUUUUUGUUUUCUUUGUGUUGAGGUGUAAUCCAUACUGAAGGCUGUGGCCUUUGAUCUUCACCAGUAAGGGCUUCAAGUCCUCCUCACUUUCAGCAAGCAAGGUUGUGUCAUCUGCAUCACGCAGGUUGUUAAUGAGUCUUCCUCCGAUCCUGAUGCCCGAUCUUCUUCAUAUGGUCCAGCUUCUCCGAUUAUCUGCUCAGCAAACAGAUUGACUAGGUUCUGCAUGAGCACAGCUAAUCCGUUGCCGUUGACUCAUAGCGACCCUGUAGCACAGAGUAGAACUGCGCCAUGAGGUUUCUCAGGAGUGGCUGGUAGAUGCGAAAUGCCGGUUGGCAGCUGAGCUCUUCACCAGUGUGCCGCCAGGGCUCCAGCAGGUUCCGCCUGAGCACAGUGAAGUGUUCUGGAAUUCCCAUUCUUGGCAAUGUUACCCAAAUUUGUUAUGAUCCACAGAGUUGAAGGAAACCCCGGUGGCACAGCGGUUAAGAAUGCCUUUGACAGUCAGUAAACACAGGUAAAGAUCUGUCUCAUAUUCCCUGCUUUCAGCCCCGAUGCAUCUGACGUCAGCACUGAUAGCC